This 253-nucleotide ribosomal RNA is filed under the name uncultured bacterium. RNAcentral describes it as "partial 16S ribosomal RNA". It matches the Rfam family "Bacterial small subunit ribosomal RNA", at positions 524 to 776 of the family's 1533-position model. The record is from RNAcentral.
GACGGAGGGUGCAAGCGUUGUUCGGAAUUACUGGGCGUAAAGGGCGCGUAGGCGGUCUGCUAAGUUCGGUGUGAAAGCCCCUGGCUCAACUGGGGAACUGCGCCGGAAACUGGCAGACUAGAGUACCGGAGAGGAGGGUGGAAUUCCUGGUGUAGCGGUGAAAUGCGCAGAUAUCAGGAGGAACACCAAUGGCGAAGGCAGCACUCUGGGACGUGACUGACGCUGAGACGCGAAAGCGUGGGGAGCAAACAGG